CUCCCGUUGAUCCUGCCGGACCCGACUGCUAUCAGAGUGGGACUAAGCCAUGCGAGUCAACGCAGCAAUGCGUGGCAUACGGCUCAGUAACACGUAGUCAACAUGCCCAGGGGACGUGGAUAACCUCGGGAAACUGAGGAUAAACCGCGAUAGGCCAAGAUUUCUGGAAUGGAUAAUGGCUGAAAUCUAUAUGGCCCCUGGAUUGGACUGCGGCCGAUCAGGCUGUUGGUGAGGUAAUGGCCCACCAAACCUGUAACCGGUACGGGCUCUGAGAGGAGGAGCCCGGAGAUGGGCACUGAGACAAGGGCCCAGGCCCUAUGGGGCGCAGCAGGCGCGAAACCUCUGCAAUAGGCGAAAGCCUGACAGGGUUACUCUGAGUGAUUUCCGUUAAGGAGAUCUUUUGGCACCUCUAAAAAUGGUGCAGAAUAAGGGGUGGGCAAGUCUGGUGUCAGCCGCCGCGGUAAUACCAGCACCCCGAGUGGUCGGGACGUUUAUUGGGCCUAAAGCAUCCGUAGCCGGUUCUACAAGUCUUCCGUUAAAUCCACCUGCUUAACAGAUGGGCUGCGGAAGAUACUAUAGAGCUAGGAGGCGGGAGAGGCAAGCGGUACUCGAUGGGUAGGGGUAAAAUCCGUUGAUCCAUUGAAGACCACCAGUGGCGAAGGCGGCUUGCCAGAACGCGCUCGACGGUGAGGGAUGAAAGCUGGGGGAGCAAACCGGAUUAGAUACCCGGGUAGUCCCAGCUGUAAACGAUGCAGACUCGGUGAUGAGUUGGCUUCUUGCCAACUCAGUGCCGCAGGGAAGCCGUUAAGUUUGCCGCCUGGGGAGUACGGUCGCAAGACUGAAACUUAAAGGAAUUGGCGGGGGAGCA
RNAcentral lists this ribosomal RNA (868 nucleotides) under uncultured archaeon. RNAcentral's name for it is "bacterial SSU rRNA". It matches the Rfam family "Archaeal small subunit ribosomal RNA", at positions 1 to 878 of the family's 1478-position model. The record is from RNAcentral.